GGCGCUGUGGCUUAGUUGGUCAAAGUGCCUGUCUAGUAAACAGGAGAUCCUGGGUUCAAAUCCCAGCAGUGCCA
RNAcentral lists this transfer RNA (74 nucleotides) under Nothobranchius furzeri (turquoise killifish). RNAcentral describes it as "tRNA-Thr (AGT) (tRNA-Thr-AGT-3-1)". It matches the Rfam family "tRNA". Rfam says of the family: Transfer RNA (tRNA) molecules are approximately 80 nucleotides in length. Their secondary structure includes four short double-helical elements and three loops (D, anti-codon, and T loops). Further hydrogen bonds mediate the characteristic L-shaped molecular structure. tRNAs have two regions of fundamental functional importance: the anti-codon, which is responsible for specific mRNA codon recognition, and the 3' end, to which the tRNAs corresponding amino acid is attached (by aminoacyl-tRNA synthetases). tRNAs cope with the degeneracy of the genetic code in two manners: having more than one tRNA (with a specific anti-codon) for a particular amino acid; and 'wobble' base-pairing, i.e. permitting non-standard base-pairing at the 3rd anti-codon position. Lineage: Eukaryota; Metazoa; Chordata; Actinopteri; Cyprinodontiformes; Nothobranchiidae. The record is from Rfam by way of RNAcentral.